GACGAACGCUGGCGGCGUGCUUAACACAUGCAAGUCGUACGGUAAGGCCCUUUCGGGGGUCCACGAGUGGCGAACGGGUGAGUAACACGUGAGUAACCUGCCCACAACUUUGGGAUAACGCUAGGAAACUGGUGCUAAUACUGGAUAUGUGCUCCUGCUGCAUGGUGGGGGUUGGAAAGCUCCGGCGGUUGUGGAUGGACUCGCGGCCUAUCAGCUUGUUGGUGGGGUAGUGGCCUACCAAGGCGGCGACGGGUAGCCGGCCUGAGAGGGUGACCGGCCACAUUGGGCCUGAGAUACGGCCCAGACUCCUACGGGAGGCAGCAGUGGGGAAUAUUGCACAAUGGGCGCAAGCCUGAUGCAGCAACGCCGCGUGCGGGAUAACGGCCUUCGGGUUGUAAACCGCUUUCAGCAGGGACGAAGCUUUUUGUGACGGUACCUGCAGAAGAAGCACCGGCUAACUACGUG
This 465-nucleotide ribosomal RNA is filed under the name uncultured bacterium. Its description in RNAcentral is "partial 16S ribosomal RNA". It matches the Rfam family "Bacterial small subunit ribosomal RNA", at positions 28 to 507 of the family's 1533-position model. The record is from RNAcentral.